RNAcentral lists this ribosomal RNA (468 nucleotides) under uncultured bacterium. RNAcentral describes it as "partial 16S ribosomal RNA". It matches the Rfam family "Bacterial small subunit ribosomal RNA", at positions 28 to 507 of the family's 1533-position model. The record is from RNAcentral.
GACGAACGCUGGCGGCGUGCUUAACACAUGCAAGUCGAACGGAAAGGCCCUGCUUUUGUGGGGUGCUCGAGUGGCGAACGGGUAAGUAACACGUGAGUAACCUGCCCUUCACUGUGGGAUAACUUCAGGAAACUGGGGCUAAUACCGGAUAGGAGCUCCUGCUGCAUGGUGGGGGUUGGAAAGUUUCGGCGGUUGGGGAUGGACUCGCGGCUUAUCAGCUUGUUUGUGGGGUAGUGGCUUACCAAGGCUUUGACGGGUAGCCGGCCUGAGAGGGUGAGCGGACACAUUGGGACUGAGAUGGGGCCCAGACUCCUACGGGAGGCAGCAGUGGGGAAUAGUGCACAAUGGGCGGGAGCCUGAUGCAGCAACGCCGCGUGCGGGAAGACGGCCUGCGGGUUGUAAACCGCUUUCGCCUGUGACGGAGCGUGAGUGACGGUAAUGGGUAAAGAAGCACCGGCUAACUACGUG